UCGAUUAGAGUUUGAUUCUGGCUCAGGAUGAACGCUGGCGGCGUGCUUAAUACAUGCAAGUCGAACGAAGAGUGCAGCAAUGUGCUCUUAGUGGCGAACGGGUGCGUAACGCGUUGGUGACCUGCCCCAAAGUGUGGGAUAACAGUUCGAAAGGACUGCUAAUACCGCAUGUGAUCGUCGGUUUUAGAAUCCGGUGAUUAAAGCAGUAAUGCGCUUUGGGAGGGACCUGCGUCCCAUCAGCUAGUUGGUGAGGUAAUGGCCCACCAAGGCUACGACGGGUAGGGAACCUGAGAGGGUGGCUCCCCACACUGGCACUGAAACACGGGCCAGACACCUACGGGUGGCAGCAGUAGGGAAUAUUGGGCAAUGGGCGAAAGCCUGACCCAGCAACGCCGCGUGCACGAUGAAGGUCUUCGGAUCGUAAAGUGCUUUUCUGAGAGAUGAGAAAGGACAGUAUCUCAGGAAUAAGUCUCGGCUAACUACGUGCCAGCAGCCGCGGUAACACGUAGGAGGCAAGCGUUAUCCGGAUUUACUGGGCGUAAAGCGCGUGCAGGUGGUUCGGUAAGUUGGAUGUGAAAGCUCCUGGCUCAACUGGGAGAAGUCGUUCAAAACUACCGGACUUGAGAGCAGUAGAGGGAGGUGGAAUUCCCGGUGUNNUGGU
RNAcentral lists this ribosomal RNA (661 nucleotides) under uncultured bacterium. RNAcentral describes it as "bacterial SSU rRNA". It matches the Rfam family "Bacterial small subunit ribosomal RNA", at positions 1 to 682 of the family's 1533-position model. The record is from RNAcentral.